Molecule: transfer RNA, 73 nt
Filed under: Nelumbo nucifera (sacred lotus)
Lineage: Eukaryota; Viridiplantae; Streptophyta; Magnoliopsida; Proteales; Nelumbonaceae
Rfam family: tRNA
About the family: Transfer RNA (tRNA) molecules are approximately 80 nucleotides in length. Their secondary structure includes four short double-helical elements and three loops (D, anti-codon, and T loops).
Source: Rfam by way of RNAcentral
GGGGAUGUAGCUCAAAUGGUAGAGCGCUCGCUUUGCAUGCGAGAGUUUCGAUCUUCGAUACCCCGCAUCUCAA